AAUAUUGGUCAAUGUAGGCAACUCUGAACCAGCCAUGCCGCGUGCAGGAUGACGGUCCUAUGGAUUGUAAACUGCUUUUGUACAGGAAGAAAAAGAGUUAGGUGUAGUUCCUUGCCGCUACGGUAAUAAUAAGGAUCGGUCACCUCUGUCCAUGCAGCCGCGGUAAUACGGAGGAUCCAAGCGUUAUCCGGAAUCAUUGGUUUUAAAGGGUUCGUAGGCGGCCUUAUAAGUCAGCGGUGAAAGUUUUUGGCUUAACCAAAAAAUUGCCGUUGAUACUGUAGGGCUUGAAUUUUUGUGAAGUAACUAGAAUAUGUAGUGUAGCGGUGAAAUGCUUAGAUAUUACAUGGAAUACCGAUUGCGAAGGCAGGUUACUAACAAGCGAUUGACGCUGAUGGACGAAAGCGUGGGUAGCGAACAG
This 418-nucleotide ribosomal RNA is filed under the name uncultured bacterium. Its description in RNAcentral is "partial 16S ribosomal RNA". It matches the Rfam family "Bacterial small subunit ribosomal RNA", at positions 360 to 775 of the family's 1533-position model. The record is from RNAcentral.